RNAcentral lists this ribosomal RNA (374 nucleotides) under uncultured Glomeromycotina. Its description in RNAcentral is "partial large subunit ribosomal RNA". Lineage: Eukaryota; Fungi; Glomeromycota. The record is from RNAcentral.
UUGAAAGGGAAACGAUUGAAGUCAGUCGUACUGACGGGUAAUCAACCUUUAGGGUGCGAUUCUGUGGGUUUUGAGGAGCUUCACGGCCCUCAUGGUCUGCAUAUUUGUGCCAUUUGGGUGUACUUACCUGGUAGUAGGUUAACAUCAAUUUUGAUCGUCAUAAAAUGAUGGGAGGAAUGUAGCUUCGACCUUCGGUUGAAGUGUUAUAGCCUCUGGUAGAUGUGAUGAUCGGGAUUGAGGAUUGCAACGAAUACCUUCUAGGCUACCCGCCUGAUCUCUGAUGGUUGCUAUGGUGCCGAAAGCUUGCUUACGGUUAUCAGAGUUGAUUGUCAAAAGGUUAGAACGCGAUUACAUUCGUUAAGGAUGUUGACGUA